RNAcentral lists this ribosomal RNA (1043 nucleotides) under uncultured bacterium. RNAcentral describes it as "bacterial SSU rRNA". It matches the Rfam family "Bacterial small subunit ribosomal RNA", at positions 28 to 1061 of the family's 1533-position model. The record is from RNAcentral.
AUUGAACGCUGGCGGCAUGCUUUACACAUGCAAGUCGAACGGCAGCACGGAGAGCUUGCUCUCUGGUGGCGAGUGGCGAACGGGUGAGUAAUGCAUCGGAACGUACCGAGUAAUGGGGGAUAACUGUCCGAAAGGAUGGCUAAUACCGCAUACGCCCUGAGGGGGAAAGCGGGGGAUCUUAGUGACCUCGCGUUAUUUGAGCGGCCGAUGUUGGAUUAGCUAGUUGGUGGGGUAAAGGCCUACCAAGGCGACGAUCCAUAGCGGGUCUGAGAGGAUGAUCCGCCACAUUGGGACUGAGACACGGCCCAAACUCCUACGGGAGGCAGCAGUGGGGAAUUUUGGACAAUGGGGGGAACCCUGAUCCAGCCAUGCCGCGUGUCUGAAGAAGGCCUUCGGGUUGUAAAGGACUUUUGUUAGGGAAGAAAAGCCGGGUGUUAAUACCACCAGGUGCUGACGGUACCUAAAGAAUAAGCACCGGCUAACUACGUGCCAGCAGCCGCGGUAAUACGUAGGGUGCGAGCGUUAAUCGGAAUUACUGGGCGUAAAGCGAGCGCAGACGGUUAAUUAAGUCAGAUGUGAAAUCCCCGAGCUCAACUUGGGACGUGCAUUUGAAACUGGAUAACUAGAGUGUGUCAGAGGGAGGUAGAAUUCCACGUGUAGCAGUGAAAUGCGUAGAGAUGUGGAGGAAUACCGAUGGCGAAGGCAGCCUCCUGGGAUAACACUGACGUUCAUGCUCGAAAGCGUGGGUAGCAAACAGGAUUAGAUACCCUGGUAGUCCACGCCCUAAACGAUGACAAUUAGCUGUUGGGACACUAGAUGUCUUAGUAGCGAAGCUAACGCGUGAAAUUGUCCGCCUGGGGAGUACGGUCGCAAGAUUAAAACUCAAAGGAAUUGACGGGGACCCGCACAAGCGGUGGAUGAUGUGGAUUAAUUCGAUGCAACGCGAAGAACCUUACCUGGUCUUGACAUGUACGGAAUCUCUUAGAGAUAGGAGAAUGCCUUCGGGAACCGUAACACAGGUGCUGCAUGGCUGUCGUCAGCUC